Molecule: ribosomal RNA, 588 nt
Filed under: Sulfitobacter sp.
Lineage: Bacteria; Pseudomonadati; Pseudomonadota; Alphaproteobacteria; Rhodobacterales; Roseobacteraceae
Description: bacterial SSU rRNA
Rfam family: Bacterial small subunit ribosomal RNA
Source: RNAcentral
UGCAAGUCGAGCGCACCCUUCGGGGCGAGCGGCGGACGGGUUAGUAACGCGUGGGAAUGUACCCUUCUCUAUGGAAUAGCCUCGGGAAACUGAGAGUAAUACCAUAUACGCCCUUCGGGGGAAAGAUUUAUCGGAGAAGGAUCAGCCCGCGUAAGAUUAGAUAGUUGGUGGGGUAAUGGCCUACCAAGUCUACGAUCUUUAGCUGGUUUUAGAGGAUGAUCAGCAACACUGGGACUGAGACACGGCCCAGACUCCUACGGGAGGCAGCAGUGGGGAAUCUUAGACAAUGGGCGCAAGCCUGAUCUAGCCAUGCCGCGUGUGUGAUGAAGGCCUUAGGGUCGUAAAGCACUUUCGCCAGGGAUGAUAAUGACAGUACCUGGUAAAGAAACCCCGGCUAACUCCGUGCCAGCAGCCGCGGUAAUACGGAGGGGGUUAGCGUUGUUCGGAAUUACUGGGCGUAAAGCGCACGUAGGCGGAUCAGAAAGUUGGGGGUGAAAUCCCAGGGCUCAACCCUGGAACUGCCUCCAAAACUCCUGGUCUUGAGUUCGAGAGAGGUGAGUGGAAUUCCGAGUGUAGAGGUGAAAUUCU